UACAGAGGGUGCAAGCGUUGUUCGGAAUUAUUGGGCGUAAAGCGUGCGCAGGCGGUUUCUUAAGUCAGAUGUGAAAGCCCCGGGCUUAACCUGGGAACUGCGUUUGAAACUGGGAGACUUGAGUGUGGCAGAGGGGGGUGGAAUUCCACGUGUAGCAGUGAAAUGCGUAGAUAUGUGGAGGAACACCGAUGGCGAAGGCAGCCCCCUGGGUUAACACUGACGCUCAUGCACGAAAGCGUGGGGAGCAAACAGG
RNAcentral lists this ribosomal RNA (253 nucleotides) under uncultured bacterium. RNAcentral describes it as "partial 16S ribosomal RNA". It matches the Rfam family "Bacterial small subunit ribosomal RNA", at positions 524 to 776 of the family's 1533-position model. The record is from RNAcentral.